This is a long non-coding RNA of Selaginella moellendorffii, 1133 nucleotides long. RefSeq lists it as uncharacterized. The transcript has 6 exons. NCBI's taxonomy places the organism in Eukaryota, Viridiplantae, Streptophyta, Lycopodiopsida, Selaginellales, Selaginellaceae. The record is from RefSeq and is a predicted model, not a curated record.
UGUUUUUCUUACAUCUCACAGCGAUGUCUAGUGCCCUAGUCGCGGUAGCAGGGAUGGAUUGGAUGGAUGCAUUCCACGGUAUUGUGAUCGGGGUUGUUGCCUUGCACGGGAGCACUCUGCCCAAAUCCAGUUCAGGCUCAGGCCUUCUUAGACGAAGGAUGACUUUGUCCUGGAGAAGAACAGUGGAGGAGGAGCGUUUGGAUCCAUCCGUCUACAAAGGAUCGUUUGCGAAAUCCUCAAAAGAAGGUGCGUGGGUUUUGUUCUUUGAUUUUUCUCGAUGACGGAUUUACGAUGGUUUGCUGAUCCCUCUCUUUCUCUCUGGCGUUUCAUAUAUCUUUGGUUCUAGAGAGUCAAUCCGAAGGAGGAGUUUUUGCUGGUGUGGCGUUACGAAGAAAAUCUCAAAUCGCGACAGACAGGUUGAGAAGGCGUUGAGCUUGAAGACUACACAGCUUGCCAAAGGUGCCGAGCGAGAAUUCCAGAUGGAGCUAUUAAAAUGUUUGAGGGAGACUGGGAUUCAUCUUUCCGACGAGUCGAAGUCCUUCAAGAUUAUUGAUCUCGGUCGGUGAGGACUUGCUACUUGGCAUCGACUACAUUCCGCAAGAGUUCCUACUGGAUCCAAGGUACGCUGCACCAGAGCUGUACGUUAUGAGCACUCAGACUCCCUCCGCUCCAUCGCCUGUCACUGCAACAGCACUCUCUCCAGUUCUAUGGCAGCUAAACCUGCCAGACCGCUACAGCCUCGGAUUGAUGUUCUUGCAAAUGGUAAGUCCAGCUGAUACAUCUAUCAAUGGCAGGUGUUUUCGAAACUGAGAAGCGAUAGUGCUCUCAUCCAGUUCAAUGAAGCGCAUGAAUCACGACUUAGUUGCGUGGAGAAACUUGGUGGACGCUCGGCGAAAUCCGGGCGUUCAACGUGGCUUCGAGAUUCUGGACGGAGGAGCUGGCUGGGAGCUGCUCCAAGCGAUGAUGCAGUUUAAAGGUCGCCAACGUAUCAGUGCCUGGCCUGUCCCACAAUGUCCUCGGGCACCAGCGACCACAGCUACCAUCGGGUUGUCCCUGUCGAGACGGAAGUAGCGUACUCCUAGUUACGUAGACAAGGAUUCAAUUCAAUGUGCAUUCUUUCCUUUCUUUCCUGA